UGGAGAGUUUGAUCCUGGCUCAGGACGAACGCUGGCGGCGCGCCUAACACAUGCAAGUCGAGGGAGAACCGGACCUUCGGGUCCGGGGAGACCGGCGAACGGGUGAGUAACACGUGAGGAAUCUGCCCUGUAGACCGGAAUAACCACGGGAAACUGUGGCUAAUGCCGGAUAUUCUCGCCGCUCCGCAUGGAGCAACGAGGAAAUGGUCAGCCGCUACAGGAUGACCUCGCGGCCUAUCAGCUUGUUGGUGGGGUAACGGCCCACCAAGGCAACGACGGGUAGCUGGCGUGAGAGCGCGAACAGCCACACUGGGACUGAGACACGGCCCAGACUCCUACGGGAGGCAGCAGUGGGGAAUCUUGCUCAAUGGGCGAAAGCCUGAAGCAGCGACGCCGCGUGCGGGAAGAAGGCCUUCGGGUUGUAAACCGCU
This 431-nucleotide ribosomal RNA is filed under the name Nitriliruptorales bacterium. RNAcentral's name for it is "bacterial SSU rRNA". It matches the Rfam family "Bacterial small subunit ribosomal RNA", at positions 1 to 434 of the family's 1533-position model. The record is from RNAcentral. Lineage: Bacteria; Bacillati; Actinomycetota; Nitriliruptoria; Nitriliruptorales.